RNAcentral lists this long non-coding RNA (4863 nucleotides) under Sus scrofa (pig). RNAcentral describes it as "lncRNA (ENSSSCG00030045790.1)". The record is from RNAcentral. Lineage: Eukaryota; Metazoa; Chordata; Mammalia; Artiodactyla; Suidae.
ACUUAGUGCAGAGUGAUGGGUGACAUGGCUGAUUGGUUUCCAGGAGGUAUAGUCAGUAGGAAUUACCCUCUUACCAAGUUACUGAUACAGAAAGGAGAAUAAAAACUGGGCAAGAAAAAAAAAGUUGAUAAGCUUCUACUGUAUUGAAGUUUACUGGGUAUUGUUUUUCUUCAAGCAUCCAAGUUUCUUCUUCCUUUUUUUUUUUUUUUUUUUUUUUUUUUUUUUUUUUUUGACAGGAGUUACCAUGAUUUAGAUACUGAUAUUUCCAUUAUCUGCAUUAUUUGGGGUGUGUUUAGAACAAAAAAAGAAACAAUAAUUGAUACUUCCUUUGAGAUUCUUUUCCCAUUUAUCAGAAUGGUUCAUUUACUUUUAUUUCUUUAAUUUAAAAGUUAUUCUAGAUACUUUACGGGAAGGUGAGUUUAAGUUCUAGCAGCAGUUGUUCAGAGUCAAAUAAAUCAGCCCAAGAAUCCCCUACCUGUAAAUUAUAACUUUUUAUUGUACAAAUGGCAUCAGUCAUGCAUUUUGAUUGUGUAGGCAUGCAGAGUGGUGACCCAGGUGUGGAGAUGGAAGUCCAUCUGGCCAAUCAUCUUUGCUGUUACCAGCCAUAGUUUGUUUUUUCUUCUAUCUAAAUUUGAGCAAGAAAUGUCUUUAGCCAGCUCCAAGAGGCUAUGAUAGCUCUAUAAUUUUUCCAAAUUAAAGCAGAAGAAAUUACCUUGUUAUUUUUUUUUUCGUGGUCACAUAACAUAUUAUUUUCAUUGAUAACAUAAUUAUAUAGGACAAUAAGAAAACAAAAUCCAAACUGUCCUGAUUUAGGACCUGUUCAACAAGACUACUGUUAAUGUUAUACUCAUGAUAGUUACCUGUCUCUGUACAGUAGAAAUAUUAAAUUUUAGCCUGAACAAACCAAUCACUGAAUAAAAGCAACUCUCCCAAUAAAAGUUAUUAUAAUUUAAGUGUUUCAAAACUUGUUUUUUUUCACAAAGUGAUCAGUUAUGAGUUUAAUAUUAACUAUGAGUAAACAGAUGAAAGCAUGGUAAUAAUGCCCAAUAAUAUUUGGUUUGGUUUUCCAUGUCAUAUGGAGCAUUAAUUUUUAUUGGUGUUAAACCAUAAAGAAUAAUAUCUUUUUCAGUGAUUGUGCAUAACAGAAAGACCUCUUUAUAUACAUAAAUAAGCACACAGAGGUAUGUAUAUAUGUUAUAGAUGUGUGUAUGUGUGUGUGCACAGUGGUGCUGCAAAAAUAUUAUACUACUGCCUCUAAAAGUCCUCCCACUAAUUCUUUAUUCCACCCUUUGCUUGGUAGAGUACAAAAAUAAUAAACAUAAAAGCAACACCAGAAUACCACUUGAAUGUGAACCUAGACCACAACCAAGAUUGCUAAUGGCCAAAUUAACUUUUAUCAACACAAACAUUAGUAUUUAGUCUUUUAGCAAGAAUGCAUAAAGCCAUCCUUUCAAACUUUUUUAUAGCAAGCAAAUAUUCAGUGUCUAAAGACAAUGUACAAGGUAUUGCAAAGUUUUUGAAAAUCUACUGUUUUAAGAAAGACUUUGUAGAAGAAAUUAGGAAAAGGAAAAUACGAAUUUACCCUUUUUAAUAAAUUAGGAAAAACAUGUAUCUCAUUAAUAUAUUUUUCAAUUAUUUUUUGUAAACUAUCAAGUCAUAAUGGACUACAAAACUGAGGUGAUACUGAACCGAAGACAAAGGUUACAGAAAACCUGGACUGUCUUGGAAUGAAUAAGAUCAGUUUUCAAAUAUUGGCAAAUAUUUUUAAAUGGAGAAACAAGCAAGAUGCUUCAUCCAAAGCAAUGAGCUUUGAUAAUUUCAGACCUAUUUAUGUCACAGAUUCCAGAAUCAAGGUCUAUAUUCCUUUUUUAAAAAACAAACAAACAAAAAAACAAAAAACAAAACAAAAAAAACCAAUCUUUUGAUAGUCAAAGUGAAGCCUGAUAGGAAUCAGUAUCUUCCAAACAUAGCUCAAGUAUCAUAAACACAUCCUAGAUAUUCUGUAACCAUGUUGCUAUAUUUGAUGUUUAGAAUCUUAAAACUUCCAGACCACAUUUAUUUCUAUGGACAACCCAUAACUUUUCCACAAAUACAGUGCUUCUUACUUGUCUGUAUAAUUGAACAUCUAGUUCUUAUUUAAACCACCACAAAUUAAAACUAUCUGCAAACUAAAUGAACACACAGCCAAUUCCAGAAAGUAAAAUAAAGUAUUUAAUAAAGCUAAUUACCUCUAUAAUUCCUUAGUGAUUCAUUGGCCAAUCUCCAACAAACAUGCUCAAUAUUCCAUACGGUGACUUCAACAUUAUACUAAAAAUACACUUCUUUAAAUUUGAUGUUAUUUCUGGGUAGUAGCCAAUUUUAUAACAGUGACUUUUAAAUUGUAUUUAUUUUUCAAAUUAAUAGAAAUAACACCUGUGGUGGUCUAAAACAGUGUCUAAUAAUAACAAGGAUGGUAAUGAUCAAGGUAAAAAUUCUUUACAUGUCCCGAAGUCUUUUUUAAAACUAUACAUUACUUUACUUCUAAAUUUGUUUUUGUAUUUUUUUCUCUUGGCAGCACCCACAGCAUGCAAAAAUUCCCAGGCCAGGGACUGAAUCCGCACCACAGCAGUGACCCAAGCCACUGCAAUGACAAUGCCAGAUCCUUAACCUGCUGCCCCACGAGAGAAUUCCUCUUUUAGUUACUGACACUCAUCUGCCUAAAAUUCUGUACAGCCAGUUAAUCCUUCCUAUAGAAUGUGAGCAUUUCCCUUAAAAAACAAACAAACAAACAAACAAAAGCAGUCGUCAUGUUUGGAGCUUUUACUUUUGUCUAAAAGAUCACGUUUUGUCCUUGUUCAAUCUCACCCUUCCACAGAGGGAGAUAAGGAAAGAGGCUGACAGGCUUAGUAACUUUUCCAGUUUACAGAGAUAAUAAAUGACAAAGCUGGGAUUAAAAGGCUUUGGUUCCUACGACUAUAGCAAUCCCACUAUAAUCUGGCCAUUUUCUGGUGCCACCUCCUACAAUUCCACAUGUUUUAUUCUCUGCUGUGUUUCGUGAGUUUAGCAAUCAUUUUACAUAAAACAUUCUCAUCCCUAUUAAUUUGGAUGUCAAUACUUAAAGGAAAAGUAAUAAAACAGAGGAAAGAGAAGUGUAUAUAAUCAUAGAAAACAAAUGUAUACACAUCCUUUUUAUUGGUUUACUACUGUUGAUUAAAAGCUGUUGUUUUUACAGCAAUGGCAAUGUUCAGGGGAAGGAAGGCAAUUUGUUCUACAAAUGUAGACAAUCAUUAUAGGACUUUGUUUUAUAAAAAUAAUGGAAAUAAAACAUCCAAGUGUCAAAUAAAAGUAUAAAUAAAAUUGUACAGACAGUUAUUUUUCAAAUGUUCAAAGCUCUAUAACAUUGUACCUACGUAGCAACAUUUUUAAUGUAUAAAAUUAUUUUUUACCUCAGCUACUAAAAUAAGAAUUUCUAGAAGGGUCUUUAUUGAUUGUCACAGAAGAGUCCUUGAGGUGAUAGAUGUUAACGCCUAAACAUUUCUAGAUAAAUUUUUCAGAGAAUUAAUGGUGUCACUAAAGCUUCCUAGUAUAUUAAGUAGAGCUGAACUUUACUAACACAAACCCACUAUAGUAAGAAAUUCAUAGAAAAAAAUCUAUAUUUUUUUUAAUAUUUUCUAACUCCAUUUUCAUUUAAUAGCUCAUUUAUAUUACUCAUGUUAAAAGUUGUAAGAGAGGAGUUCCUGUCAUGGUGCAGCGGAAACGAAUCCAACUAGGAACCAAGAGUUCUCUGGCUCCUCACCAGAAUUUCAUGUUAUUUUAUCUAGUGUGAUGGUUGGGUACCAACAUCUCAUUGAGUUUUUAAUAUUCACAUCCCUAACAGCAAAUGAUGUUAAACAUCUUUUCAUAGGUGUUUCUGCCAUCUGUACAUACUUGGUGGAAUAUCUCUUCAUAUCUUUUGCUCAUUUUCUAAUUGGAGUGUUUGUGUUUUUACUGUUGAGUUUUGAGAGUUCUUUAUACGUUCUAGAUAUGAGUCCUUGGUCAGAUAUACAGCUUGUAAAUAUUUUUGCCAAGUUUGUAAUGUGCAUUUUCAUUUUCUCCACAUGGGUUUUUUUCAGAGCAAAAUAUUUUAAUAUUGAUGAGUCCAAUGAUCAACUUUUCUUUUUUAUUGAUCAUACUUUGGUGUUCAGUCAAAAAAACUCUUUGCUCCACCAUAAGUCUGAAGAUUUUGCCUAUAGUUUCCUUGAAAAGGAAUAUAGUUUUAUGUUUUAUGUUUUACAUUUAACUCAAUGGUCUAUUUUCAGUUAAUUUGUAUAUAAAGUGUUUAGUUCAAGGUUCAUAUUUUGACAUUGGAUGUCCAACUGUUCCAGCACAUAUAUAAUUUUUUAACACAUUCAGAGUUUUCAUUUAUUGAGUGAUUAUAUUUGGACUCAGUCAAAGAAAAAUGAAUGUAUUUUCAGAUCUAUGCCCACAUUAACGUGACUAUCACCAAAGCAGCUCUGUGGCAAUCACACCAGGCUUGAAUAACUUAGGAGGUUAAGAGAAAGAACACAAAUAAACAUUUACCUUAUUAAAAGAAAACAACCUGGAAAAUAACAGCAGAAUCAUUUAAUUAAUUAUUAAUCUUUUUUAAUAUCUAGGAGAUUUUGAAUUAAUAGCAAGACAAAGAUUUAUGAAAUUUAAAAUGAAAAAACUACUUUGUUCAUAUUAAAUUUCAUUUACUAUCAAAACAGCUAAACCUGAUUUGGAUAUUCUGUAUGGUAAUAAAUAUGUCAAGCUUCAGUUGGAGCUGGCAAAUAUUCAAGAGAACAUUCAUUUCUUUGCAGCCCUCUCCCAUGAAACAUAAAGUGAGCAUCUUCUGAUGCUAUAGAUAUGCUUAAUUCAAUAGUA